This 394-nucleotide ribosomal RNA is filed under the name uncultured bacterium. RNAcentral's name for it is "partial 16S ribosomal RNA". It matches the Rfam family "Bacterial small subunit ribosomal RNA", at positions 523 to 918 of the family's 1533-position model. The record is from RNAcentral.
AUACGUAUGGGGCAAGCGUUAUCCGGAAUUAUUGGGCGUAAAGAGUGCGUAGGUGGUUACCUAAGCGCAAGGUUUAAUCUUGAGGCUCAACCUCAUUCUGCCUUGCGAACUGGGCUACUUGAGUGCAGGAGGGGAAAGCGGAAUUCCCAGUGUAGCGGUGAAAUGCGUAGAUAUUGGGAAGAACACCGGUGGCGAAGGCGGCUUUCUGGACUGUAACUGACACUGAGGCACGAAAGCGUGGGGAGCAAACAGGAUUAGAUACCCUGGUAGUCCACGCCGUAAACGAUGAGCACUAGUUGUUGGGUACGAAUGUAUUCAGUGACGCAGUUAACGCAAUAAGUGCUCCGCCUGGGGAGUACGGUGGCAACACUAGAACUCAAAUGAAUUGACGGGG